AGAAGAUGAUGUUACUUUCAAUAUGACAGAAGGUGGAUGAAGUGGUGGACUGCCCCUCCACACCUGUGGACACGCCCCCACUGAUAUUCCUUCUAAUUGCAGCGUGGGAGAGGAGGAUAUGACACGCGAUAUCGCAGGGAGUAGAAACACCCCUGUGAUACUGUUCUUAAUAUUCAGGGAGGAAGAGGAUGAUAUUACUCCCAAUACAGACGGGUGUACACCCUCUGUACACCGAGGGUGUACACCUGUCUGUGAAAGAGUUCGUAAUCUCCAGAGGGGGAGAUGAUAUUACUCACAAUAUGGUAAAGAGGCUGUGAGUCCACGGAGGAUCCUCAGAGCCAGCGGGGGAAGAGGGGCUGGCUCUCAGUCCCCGCCUCGCGGGGGUGACUCCCCCCAGUGCGAUGGGGGUCCUAAGAGCCAGUGGGGGAAGAGGGGCUGGCUCUGAGACCCCGCCUCGCGGGGGGUGCCUCCCCGCCCUGUGAUGGGGGUCCGAAGAGCCAGAAGGCUUAGAGGGGCUGGCUCUCAGUCCCCGCCUCGCGGGGGGUGCCUCCUCCCCCUGCGAUGGGGGUCGUAAGAGCCACUGGGGGAAUAGGGGCUUGCUCUCAGUCACCGCCUCGCGGGGGGUGCCUCCUUUCCUUUCUACAUAGACACAGUGACAGUCUGAUCUCUCUUUCUUUUCCCUACAGAUGGACACGCCCCCACUGAUAUUGUUUUUAAUGCAGCGUGGGAGGGGAGGAUAUGACACGCGAUAUCGCAGGUAGUAGAAACACCCCUUUGAUAGUGUUCUUAAUAUUCAGGGAGGAAGAAGAUGAUGUUACUCCCAAUACAGACGGAUGUACACCCUCUGUACACCGAGGGUGUACACCCGUCUGUGAAGGAGUUCGUAAUCUCCAGAGGUGGAGAUGAUAUUACUCACAAUAUGGUAAACAGGCUGUGAGUCCAUCGCGGAUCCUCAGAGCCAGGUGGGGAAGAGGGGCUGGCUGUCAGUCCCCUCCUCGCGGGGGGUGCCUCCCCCACUGCUAUGGGGAUCCCAAGAGCCAGUGGGGGAAGAGGUGCUGGCUCUCAGUCUCCGCCUCGCGAGGUGCCUCCCCACCCUGCGAUCGGGGUCCGAAGAGCCAGGGGGGAAGAGGGGCUGGCUCUCUUCGUGGAUGAUUCUUUUUCCAUUCUCAGGCAGUUUUCUUUUUUCUUUCUUUCUUUUUUUUUUUUUUUGAGACUGAGUCUUGCUCUGUUGCCCAUGCUUUGCUCGAUCUCGGGUGACUGCAACCACUGCCUCCCAGGUUCAAGAGAUUCUCCUGCCUCAGCCUCCUGAGUAGCUGGGACUAGAGGCGUGUGUCACCACACCCAGCUAAUUUUUGUAUUUUUAGUAGAGAUGGGGUUUCACCAUGUUUGCCAGGAUGGUCUCUAUCUCCUGCCCUUGUGAUCCACCCACCUCAGCCUCCCAAAGUGCUGGGAUUGCAGGUGCGAGCCACCGGGUCCAGCCUCUCAGGCGAUUUUCAUACCUGCAUACUCUGGUCACUACUCUGUUAAACAGUCAAGGAGGCUGAGUGCCACGUGCUGACGUCACUAAGAUCAAUACAGCAAACUCUGAAAGAUGGACAGAGAGACAGGAGAUGGUCCUUUAUAAUGCAGUGUGAUCUGUGCUGCAAUAGAGAUGGAAGAGUGUUCUGAUCGGCUGGAAAACAACGCACAUGGGAAGCUGUACAGAAAUGAGUGGGGAAAGUUUUGGAAGCUAGAAGUUCAAAACGAGGUGUUGGCAGCACCAUGCUCUCUCUGAAGAUGCUAGGAAGAAUCUGCUCCAUGCCUUUCCAUUCGCUUCUGGGGUUUCCUGCAAGCCCUGACAUUCCUUGGCUUGUAGAUGCAUCACCCCAGUUUCCGCCCCCAUCAUCACAUGGCCUCCUCUCUGUGUGUGCCUCUGCGUUCCCUCUAUUCUUCUUCUAAGGACACCGACACCAGUCAUAGUGGAUUAAGUGUCCACUCCUAACCAAUUACAUCUGCAACAACCCUAUUUCCAAAUAAAGUCACAUUCUAAGAUUCCUAGGGAGAACAUGAAUUUUUGGGGGUGUGUGGAUACUGUUCAACCUGGGACAUGGAGUAAAUAAAUGGCAAGGAAGAUUACAGAUGACUUUAAGCUAAAGAGGGAGAUAGGGUUAAAUGUAGGACUUUUUUUUUCCAGGACGGGAGAGGUUUAAACAUGUUACUACAUUGAAUAAAUGAAAUAACC
RNAcentral lists this long non-coding RNA (2221 nucleotides) under Homo sapiens (human). RNAcentral describes it as "PREDICTED lncRNA (TCONS_00265310)". Lineage: Eukaryota; Metazoa; Chordata; Mammalia; Primates; Hominidae. The record is from RNAcentral.